This is a long non-coding RNA of Cryptomeria japonica (Japanese cedar), 713 nucleotides long. RefSeq lists it as uncharacterized. The transcript is spliced from 2 exons. NCBI's taxonomy places the organism in Eukaryota, Viridiplantae, Streptophyta, Pinopsida, Cupressales, Cupressaceae. The record is from RefSeq and is a predicted model, not a curated record.
CCACCUAAAAAAAUGAAAACCUAAUGAAGUAUGAGCUUAACAGAUUCCAAAUAAUCUUAAGCGCCUGGGACCCUUGCCUUACCCUAUAUAAAGAAUAAAAACUCAUUAAGAAGUAACUUUCACAUUUCUGGUGAAGACUUUAAAGCGAAUUGCGAUGUUUCAAAAGAUGACCUUUUGCCUGCAACAUCCUCCAUGGAUUACUGAGUGUGAAUCACAAAGGGUGAAAGUUCUCAAAUCACAUCGUUCUACAAUGUGGCCCAGAUCAUGAAGUUUGUCCUCAGAUAUAUGUUGCUUGAGCGUAUGGGUAUGCUAGAUUAUCAAUGAUUCACAUUGUGCACCAGAUUCAGUCAUGCAUUUUGCCACAAUUCGCUAGAUCCUUUGUGAUGGGUUGGGUUCCUCCAGUGGAGUAGCAUGGGGAAGUUUAAUGUUUCAUGGUAAGGUUGAUAUCACCUCGAUGAUUCUCUCGUCUUUUUCUUUGCAGAUUUUAAGUAUGGUUUCAAGAUGUGUGAACUUGUAUCUGUAAUGUAAAAUGAUUUGAGUUUUAUAGUUUUGCUAGAGUAAUGUAAGUGAACUUGUACUAAUUCUAAUUACUUGGAGGAUUAUUUUAUGUAUAAUUAGUAUUUUUUAAAUUAAAUAUUUGACUCCUUUUGGAGGAUUAUUUUAUGUAAAAUUGCUAUUUUUUAAAGUAAAUAUCUAACUCUUUUUAGAUCAGA